Molecule: non-coding RNA, 412 nt
Organism: Doryrhamphus excisus (bluestripe pipefish)
Lineage: Eukaryota; Metazoa; Chordata; Actinopteri; Syngnathiformes; Syngnathidae
Source: RefSeq, a predicted model, not a curated record
CCUUCUUUUAGAUCGCACAAGAUUUUUCGAUCCUCUAUGGAGAGGCUGCACCUAAACUUUUUGAGACAUGGGUUGCUCUUUACUCUGAUAAGAUCAUUCGUCUUGCAAAAUGCGAUGGAAAACUAUCGGUGCCAGAGGAACAGAUCACCCAUGAUUCCAGGGGAGAAGUCGCCCUGAUGCUGCUGCCCAUCCUGCUUCCUCCGCCUGUCUAUAAAAAGGGCAGGAAAUUGGUUCGGGCGAGCAUACAGGAGUCAAAGAGGGCCUUUAUUGAUGUGAAGCCUGUUGGAACUAACAUGGUGGAGUAUUUGGAGCAGGCCGAAUCGCUCAGGGCCUAUCCAUAUGUGCUCCUGCUUAGUGAUGGCAUUUUGUGUUCCCAGGCAUUUGCCAUCAUAUCGGGCAAAGCCAUUCCCUC